RNAcentral lists this ribosomal RNA (2206 nucleotides) under Mycoplasmopsis bovis. RNAcentral's name for it is "partial 23S ribosomal RNA". It matches the Rfam family "Bacterial large subunit ribosomal RNA", at positions 683 to 2925 of the family's 2925-position model. Lineage: Bacteria; Bacillati; Mycoplasmatota; Mycoplasmoidales; Metamycoplasmataceae. The record is from RNAcentral.
CUUAAUAGGGCGAUUAGUAUGCUUGAGUACACCCGAAACCAGGUGACCUAUUCAUGAGCAGACUGAAACUUAGCUAACCCUAAGUGGAGGGUCGAACCGUAGUACACUGAAACGUGCCCGGAUGACUUGUGAAUAGCGGAGAAAUUCCAAUCGAACUUGGAGAUAGCUGGUUCUCCUCGAAAUAGCUUUAGGGCUAGCGUGUAGUGUUAAAUAAUGGUGGUAAAGCACUGAAUAUGGAAUGGCCUCGCCUAGGGGUACUGACUAUAAUCAAACUCUGAAUACCGUUAUGAAUUGCUAUGCAGUCGGAACCGGGGUGCUAACGUCCCGGCUCGCGAGGGAAACAACCCAGAUCGUCAGCUAAGGUCCCAAAAUCGUGUUAAGUCAGAAAGGUUGUGAGGUUUCAUAAACAACUAGGAAGUUGGCUUAGAAGCAGCCAUCUUUUAAAGAGUGCGUAAUAGCUCACUAGUCAAGAGACCUUGCGCCGACAAUGUAACGGGAGUAAAACACGAUACCGAAGCUACGGGUACAUUUAUGUACGUUAGAGGAGCGUUCUUAGGGCAAUGAAGCUAGACUGUAAAGACUAGUGGAGCGCUAAGAAGUGAGAAUGCCGGUAUGAGUAACGAUUCGUAGUGAGAAUCUACGACGCCUAUUGGGGAAGGUUUCCUGGGCAAGGUUCGUCCACCCAGGGUUAGUCAGGACCUAAGGCGAGGCUGAAAAGCGUAGUCGAUGGAUAACAGGUUAAUAUUCCUGUACUUUCUUUAAUUGUGAUGGAGUGACGGAGAAGGAUAAGCAUACCUAUUAUUGGAUUUAGGGGUAAGUAGUUACUGGUGAUUGUAGGCAAAUCCGCAAUCUAUAACUGGGAGCUAUGAUGCAUAGGACUUUUGUCUGAAUUUGCCAAUUCCAUGCUUCCUAGAAAAGCUUCUAAACUUAAUUUUAUUGAAACCUGUACCAAGAACGGACACACGUCCCCAAGAUGAGUAUUCUAAGGCGAGCGAGAAAACUAGUGUUAAGGAACUCUGCAAAAUGACCCCGUAAGUUCGCAAGAAGGGGCGCCUAUGGUAACACAUAGGCCACAGUAAAUUAUGAGGGGCAACUGUUUAUCAAAAACACAACUCUCUGCUAAACCGCAAGGUGAUGUAUAGGGGGUGAAGCCUGCCCAGUGCCCGAAGGUUAAGUGGAUGCGUUAGCUUAUGCGAAGCGUUGAAAUGAAGCCCGGGUGAACGGCGGCCGUAACUAUAACGGUCCUAAGGUAGCGAAAUUCCUUGUCGGCUAAAUACUGACCUGCACGAAAGGCAUAAUGAUCUCUCAACUGUCUCAACACUAGACUCGGUGAAAUUAUGGUCCCAGUGAAAACGCUGGGUUCCCGCAUCAAGACGAAAAGACCCCAUGGAGCUUUACUAUAACUUCGUAUUGGAAUUUGGCCUAACAUGUGUAGGAUAGGUGGGAGACUUUGAAGCUGAGACGCCAGUAGCAGUGGAGUCAACCUUGAAAUACCACCCUUGUUAUGUUGAAUUUCUAACUUACCAUCAUAAUCAGGUGGGAGGACAGUGCGUGGUGGGUAGUUUGACUGGGGCGGUCGCCUCCUAAAGAGUAACGGAGGCGUUCAAAGGUACACUCAGUACGGUCAGAAACCGUAUGUAGAGCGCAAAGGCAGAAGUGUGCUUGACUGUGAGACAUACAAGUCGAGCAGGUGCGAAAGCAGGACUUAGUGAUCCGGCUGUACAUUGUGGAAUGGCAGUCGCUCAACGGAUAAAAGUUACCCUGGGGAUAACAGGCUAAUCUUGCCCAAGAGAUCACAUCGACGGCAAGGUUUGGCACCUCGAUGUCGGCUCAUCGCAUCCUGGAGCUGGAGUCGGUUCCAAGGGUUGGGCUGUUCGCCCAUUAAAGCGGUACGCGAGCUGGGUUCAAAACGUCGUGAGACAGUUUGGUCCCUAUCUGAUGUGGGCGUUGGAAUAUUGAUGAGAGCCGCUCUUAGUACGAGAGGACCGGAGUGGACGUACCGCUGGUGUUCCAGUUGUUCCGCCAGGAGCAUGGCUGGGUAGCUAAGUACGGAAAGGAUAACCGCUGAAAGCAUCUAAGUGGGAAGCCUCCUCAGAGAUUAAUAUUCCCUUGAAAUUCCUUAUAGACUAUGAGGUUGAUAGGCUGGAUGUGUAAGCACAGUAAUGUGUUGAGCUGACCAGUACUAAUAAAUUGAAAGGUUUAAAAG